AAUAGAUACCCGGUAGUCCACGCCGUAAACGAUGAGUGCUAAGUGUUAGAGGGUUUCCGCCCUUUAGUGCUGCAGCUAACGCAUUAAGCACUCCGCCUGGGGAGUACGGUCGCAAGACUGAAACUCAAAGGAAUUGACGGGGGCCCGCACAAGCGGUGGAGCAUGUGGUUUAAUUCGAAGCAACGCGAAGAACCUUACCAGGUCUUGACAUCCUCUGACAACUCUAGAGAUAGAGCGUUCCCCUUCGGGGGACAGAGUGACAGGUGGUGCAUGGUUGUCGUCAGCUCGUGUCGUGAGAUGUUGGGUUAAGUCCCGCAACGAGCGCAACCCUUGAUCUUAGUUGCCAGCAUUUAGUUGGGCACUCUAAGGUGACUGCCGGUGACAAACCGGAGGAAGGUGGGGAUGACGUCAAAUCAUCAUGCCCCUUAUGACCUGGGCUACACACGUGCUACAAUGGAUGGUACAAAGGGCUGCAAGACCGCGAGGUCAAGCCAAUCCCAUAAAACCAUUCUCAGUUCGGA
RNAcentral lists this ribosomal RNA (521 nucleotides) under uncultured bacterium. RNAcentral describes it as "bacterial SSU rRNA". It matches the Rfam family "Bacterial small subunit ribosomal RNA", at positions 777 to 1297 of the family's 1533-position model. The record is from RNAcentral.